This 253-nucleotide ribosomal RNA is filed under the name uncultured bacterium. RNAcentral's name for it is "partial 16S ribosomal RNA". It matches the Rfam family "Bacterial small subunit ribosomal RNA", at positions 524 to 776 of the family's 1533-position model. The record is from RNAcentral.
UACGUAGGUGGCAAGCGUUGUCCGGAUUUACUGGGUGUAAAGGGCGUGCAGCCGGGCUGACAAGUCAGAUGUGAAAUCCCGCGGCUCAACCGCAGAACUGCAUUUGAAACUGUCAGUCUUGAGUACCGGAGAGGUCAUCGGAAUUCCUUGUGUAGCGGUGAAAUGCGUAGAUAUAAGGAAGAACACCAGUGGCGAAGGCGGAUGACUGGACGGCAACUGACGGUGAGGCGCGAAAGCGUGGGGAGCAAACAGG